UCAUUCAUGCCUGCUCCCUGCCUGGCACAGCUCUGACUGCAUGGGCACUGAAGCCAAGAAUCAGACUGAGUGGCACUUUGCGCAGCAGCAGAAUCAUGGGGGAGCUCUAUUCUGGUGUGUGUAUACACAAGAUGGACUUGUGUAUAGUGGAGGUUUGGGAUCAAGAAGGAGAAAAGGGGCGAAAAGCCCCCGCACUGAGUGCUAGGCAGAGGUGCAUGGGUCAUCCUCCAGCUGCCUCUUGAUGUCAUGGGGCUAGAAUGCAGCUCGGGGGUCCACCAGGGAGAACUUCCCGUGCAGCUGGUUUCUCCUCCGCAGGAUCACCUGCAGGAUGGCGUGGGAGCGAGACGAGUUGGCGUUG
Long non-coding RNA from Salvelinus fontinalis (brook trout), 358 nucleotides. RefSeq lists it as uncharacterized. The transcript is spliced from 3 exons. The record is from RefSeq and is a predicted model, not a curated record. NCBI's taxonomy places the organism in Eukaryota, Metazoa, Chordata, Actinopteri, Salmoniformes, Salmonidae.